This 208-nucleotide ribosomal RNA is filed under the name uncultured bacterium. RNAcentral describes it as "partial 16S ribosomal RNA". It matches the Rfam family "Bacterial small subunit ribosomal RNA", at positions 328 to 538 of the family's 1533-position model. The record is from RNAcentral.
ACGCUCGACACCUACGGGAAGGCAGCAGUCGGGAAUAUUGCGCAAUGGAGGAAACUCUGACGCAGUGACGCCGCGUAUAGGAAGAAGGUUUUCGGAUUGUAAACUAUUGUCGUUAGGGAAGAGAAAGGACAGUACCUAAGGAGGAAGCUCCGGCUAACUACGUGCCGAGCACGCCGGACGGUAAUCUGAGGCGGGCGUGGACGAAGGC